GUGAAGAACGUAGCGAAAUGCGAUAAGUAAUGCGAAUUGCAGAAUUUCCGUGAGUCAUCGAAUCUUUGAACGCACAUUGCGCCCACUGGUAUUCCGGUGGGCAUGCCUGUUCGAGCGUCAUUAUCCUCCCUCAAACCCCGGGUUUGGUGUUGGACCCAAGUUGUGUGAACAACUGGUCUCAAAGACAAUGACGGCGUCCGUGGGACCCUCGGUGCAACGAGCUUUUAGGAGCACGCGCCGAGUUGCAAGGACCUUCCGGGCCGGUCUCCUUUACUAUUUUACAAGGUUGACCUCGGAUCAGGUAGGAAUACCCGCUGAACUUAAGCAUAUCAAUAAGCGGAGGA
RNAcentral lists this unclassified non-coding RNA (344 nucleotides) under soil metagenome. Its description in RNAcentral is "partial contains 5.8S ribosomal RNA, internal transcribed spacer 2, and large subunit ribosomal RNA". The stretch from base 2 to 120 matches the Rfam family "5.8S ribosomal RNA", at positions 37 to 154 of the family's 154-position model. The record is from RNAcentral.